Apus apus (common swift) is the source of this 572-nucleotide long non-coding RNA. RefSeq lists it as uncharacterized. The transcript is spliced from 4 exons. The record is from RefSeq and is a predicted model, not a curated record. Lineage: Eukaryota; Metazoa; Chordata; Aves; Apodiformes; Apodidae.
GCUAUACCAGGAUGCAUUUUGCUUUUGCAAAAAUGAAGACAGACCUUCUUCCUUUCAGCCCUGGAGAACUAUCAGAUGGGUCUUCACCUGGUUGUUUCCAUCAACUAGAAUAAUCUGAUAUGGAUCUGGUUUAUUUAAUUAUAUUGGAUGAAGGAAAGAUAAAAUCUCCAAACAAAAAUUUAGCAAAUCAAUUCUCUUUCUGCUGAUCUAGCCAGGAUGUACAAGCAGAUGUGUUCCUCUUUCUUGGCACACCAUAUUUGGCAGACUGUGACACCGUACUCUGAGAAGAGUCCCAUGGGAACAUAUGGAUGCUGGGGGAGGUACAGUGGUGUCUGCAGCUUAACAUCACCCUGCUCUCUGGCUUUUUGCACUGGAUGCAGCUCAUCCUGGCAGGCAACAGUCAAUACUCACAUCAGCUUGGAUUCAGACACUAAGUAUACACAAGAGUACUUUGCCACUUGAAUCCUUGAGCUUUAUAUUUGGCUACAUCCGUCACAGAACAGCAACAGUAAAACUUAUUCUGUCCUAGCUAAAGGCUAAAAUGCUAAGAAAGAGGAACUUGGGCUCUGGUA